This 2982-nucleotide ribosomal RNA is filed under the name Triticum aestivum (bread wheat). RNAcentral describes it as "partial small subunit ribosomal RNA". The record is from RNAcentral. Lineage: Eukaryota; Viridiplantae; Streptophyta; Magnoliopsida; Poales; Poaceae.
AUGGACGUCGUCCCCGCGGCGGCAUCUCCCAAUCUUUACUUGCUCGACCUCGUGAGUUCCGGCCCGAAGCUCAUCGACCGUGGCCUCGUUCUCCCGGACGGCGAGGUGGACAACAUCUACCUCCCUGUCGACACGUUCCAGCUCUUACGAAUCGAUGACACUGUCGUGUAUAAGAACAUCAGCGACAUCACGGUGGUUGACAGGAGCCACCUGUACCCCGGACAGGUGGUCGGGUCGGCCUCCGACAUGGGCGGCCAAAUCGGCGUCGUCACCGGCGUCAACACCAUGCUCAACCUGGCCAAGCUCGACAACAAAGGCCUGCCAAUCAAGGUCAUCAGGGGAGUGUCCCCGUCUAGCCUGCGGCGCAUCAGGAGCCUCAACCUUGGCGACUUUGUUGUGUCCGGGCCGUGGCUCGGCCGCGUCGUGGAGGUGUCGAUCGACAUCGAUGUGUUGUUCGAUGACGGAGCCGUCUGCAGGGUCACCGAUGCGGAGUCCAAGAACCUGGUGGGAGUGUGUGUGAACAGGCACACGAGGCAUCGCCACCAAAUGAACAGUAUAUUCCACCAGGGGCAGUCCGUCGGCGGGCCAGACGCUUGUUCAAUCUUCAAGGCGGCGCGGUGGCUUAAUGGCUAUUGGCAUCCUGAACAAGACCUAGGAACCAUCAUGAAGCUGGAGACGUCUGGCGUCCUUGUCUACUGGGUUGCGUCAAUGCAUUGUGGCACCGACAAGGAGCUACUGGAGGCAUCUGCUCCUCCGGCCUACCAGAACCCAGACGAUCUAACAUUCUUCUGUGCCUCGUACAACUGCUGCUGGGGGCUUGCUGACCGCUGUUUUUUUCUUGAAACUUGUUCCAAUGAAGGGGGUGGAGCUUGCUCUCCUGAUCAACAUGAUGAUGAUGAUGAUGAUGAUGAUGAUGAUGGUGAUGAUGAUGAUGAGGAGGAGGAUGAGGAGGAGGAAUAUAACGCAUGCUCAGAGGACAAUCAAGAAGAGUGUGAAGCAUCAACCUCUCAGGUGCUACCUCCCACGAAGCAAAAAGAUCCGAGGUUUUAUCGAAAGCAGCUAAGGAAGCUUGUCUUUGAGGGCCAUAGACGGGCGCAACGGUCACAAGUCAUGAGACAUGUGGAGGUGGAGUUUCCCAUGCUCGUCGCCAACACGCGCACCACCGUAGACGUGGUAUGGCAAGACGGCACACGGCAACAAGGCAGACCUUCAGCGACCAUCGUCCCGUUUGGGAUCUGGAAUGAGCAAGAGUUCUUCCCCGGACAGCAUGUUGUCGCCAACGUUCUUCCUGUCAAUUCUGCCGUUGACGCUACUGCUGAUGUGACAACUACUAGUGUCAACAGCGACAUUGACGCAUCUGGAACUGGACCAGCAGAGCGUGUCGGCAUCGUCAAGAGCAUGCAACACGAGGACCAGACGGUUUGUGUAUCAUGGUUCAAGACGCCAGGGCAUCCUGAUGAGGCUAUGGAAGUCGAGUGCGAUGAUACCGUCAGUGCUUAUGACCUAAGAUUGGACUCUAGCCACUCUGCUUACUAUGGUGAUAUUGUCAUUCGUAUCGUACCAUCAGUAUCAACAGAUGACGGUGGAAGUGCACCCUUGUCACAGGGAAACAAGAAGAAAAAUGUCGUUCCCGCCGAUCUUUCAUGGGUGGGGCGGGUAGUUGAACUUCCUAAUGGGCACGUCCAAGUCAAGUGGGGUGAUGGUAGCAUGUCAACGGUAUCGCCUCAUGAGAUCGUUGUCAUCAAAGAUGAGCACUACAUGGAGCUAUGGCUUGAAAUGGGUGAUUGGGUAGAGGACAAUGGCGUCGAUGACGCACCCGAAGAACCGGUUGCUGCCAACACGGACAUUGAUCUUCAGAAUCUAGAUAACGAUGUCGAAAGCGUCGGCCCGGCAAUGUCAAGGACAAGACUUUUAGGUUUGUCAUUCUGGUCUUUCCUCCAAUUGACCAGCGACAUGGUGGCUCGAGGUAAAGGAUACUUGAUGAACUGGCGGUCAUCGUCGUCGUCGUUGCCAAGCUCAGAGUUACCCACGCCCAUAAACGAUGAUAGUAUAGGUGGUGCUGCAGUGGAGACCAGCGAUGCUGCUGUAGAUGUGACCAGCCACGGUUUUGACGGUGGGCCAAAGGCUGCAGGUGCUACCUGUUGCUCCGAUGAAUCGUUGUGCUUUCCACGUUUCGAUGUAUUGCAGAUCAGCCCUUUGGAUCACCACUACCUUGACACUACGGACCAGGGCGCUAGUCGUGCGAAGAGUUGGGCUAAAGCAGUGCAAAAGGAAUGGAAAAUUCUGGAGAACGACUUACCAGGAACCAUCUACGUGCGAGCGUUCGAGGACCGCAUGGAUCUGCUCCGGGUGGUUAUGGUGGGCGCAAGCGGGACACCGUAUCAUGACGGCCUCUUCUUCUUCGAUCUGCAGCUACCUCCUUCGUACCCGGAUGCCCCACCGCAAGUGUAUUACCACUCAUUCGGCCUACGCCUCAAUCCAAACCUCUAUGAGUCUGGUACAGUGUGCCUCAGCCUGCUAAACACAUUCGGUGGCGAGGGCACCGAGGUCUGGUCCUCGACGGAGUCGAGCCUCCUCCAAGUCGUUGUCUCCAUCCAGGGCCUUGUCCUCAAUGACAAACCAUACUACAAUGAGACUGGCUACGAGACAAUGGUCGACAAACCGGAGGGCCGCCGCAAUGCGCUGCCCUACAGUGAGAAUGCUUACCUGCUCACCCUUCGGACCAUGCUACACCUUUUACGUCGGCCACCUCAGGGAUUUGAGGAAUUCGUUAAGGAACACUUCCGCCAUCGGGGAAGGUUUGUGCUCAGGGCAUGCAACGCGUGGCUGCAGGGAAAUAUGGUCGACAAUGCUCAUGCCACUGAAGUGAGUAGGAAGCAGCCGUGCUCGGCUGGGUUAAGGCUUGCACUCACCAAGGUAGUGCCAAGCCUCGUGGCAGCCUUCACAGAGAUCCGAGCCGAGGGGUGCGAAGAGUACCAGUAG